RNAcentral lists this ribosomal RNA (253 nucleotides) under uncultured bacterium. RNAcentral's name for it is "partial 16S ribosomal RNA". It matches the Rfam family "Bacterial small subunit ribosomal RNA", at positions 524 to 776 of the family's 1533-position model. The record is from RNAcentral.
UACGUAGGGGGCAAGCGUUGUUCGGAAUUACUGGGCGUAAAGCGCGCGUAGGCGGAUAUUUAAGUCAGGGGUGAAAUUCCGCAGCUCAACUGUGGGACUGCCUUUGAUACUGGGUAGCUUGAGUAUGGGAGAGGUAAAUGGAAUUGCGAGUGUAGGGGUGAAAUUCGUAGAUAUUCGGAAGAACGCCAGUGGUGAAGGCGGCGUACUGGACUAAUACUGACGAUGAGGUGCGAAAGAGUGGGGAGCGAACAGG